Molecule: small RNA, 472 nt
Filed under: Pan troglodytes (chimpanzee)
Lineage: Eukaryota; Metazoa; Chordata; Mammalia; Primates; Hominidae
Description: processed transcript
Source: RNAcentral
AGGAGGAGCUUGGCUCCCAGCCAGCUGGCCAAGAGAAAACCUGAAGGCAGGUCCUGUGAUGAUGAAGACUGGCAACCUGGCCUAGUGACUCCUAGGAAACGGAAAUCCAGCAGUGAGACCCAGAUCCAGGAGUGUUUCCUGUCUCCUUUUCGGAAACCUUUGAGUCAGCUAACCAAUCAACCACCUUGUCUGGACAGCAGUCAGCAUGAAGCAUUUAUUCGAAGCAUUUUGUCAAAGCCUUUCAAAGUCCCCAUUCCAAAUUAUCAAGGUCCUCUGGGCUCUCGGGCAUUGGGCCUGAAAAGGGCUGGGGUCCGCCGGGCCCUCCAUGACCCCCUGGAAAAAGAUGCCUUGGUUCUGUAUGAGCCUCCCCCACUGAGCGCUCAUGACCAGCUGAAGCUUGAACACCAGCCGGCGGGUGCUCAUCUCCGGAACUCCCAUCCAGAAUGAUCUGCUUGAGUAUUUCAGCUUGGUA